This is a long non-coding RNA of Pan troglodytes (chimpanzee), 380 nucleotides long. RefSeq lists it as uncharacterized. The record is from RefSeq and is a predicted model, not a curated record. NCBI's taxonomy places the organism in Eukaryota, Metazoa, Chordata, Mammalia, Primates, Hominidae. The transcript has 2 exons.
GAUUUUGGAGCAGGAAUACUCAAUCUGCAGCACAUUUUUUUACAUCUUUUCUCUCAAAGAAAGCAUGUCAAGUGGGAGGACAGACAUAGGCCUAUGAAUUGAUACAAUGUUGGUGCUGUUGCUUUAGGACCUUCAGACCUGGAUGGGGAUGUAUGAUAAGGAUCCUGGUUCUCAGGCCUUCUGGUGUGCACUGUAGCUACACGUCCAGCUUUCCUGUGCUGUCAGUUUGGAGACAGCAGGUCAUGAGACUUCACUGCAUUCAUAAUUAUGUGAGCCAGUUUGUCAUGGUAAAUAUGUAUGUAUGCAUGUAUGUAUCCAUCCAUCCUGUUGAUUCUGUUUCUCUGGAGAACGCUGAUUAAAACACCUCUCUGCCUUCAGAA